GUGAACGCUGGCGGUAGGCCUAACACAUGCAAGUCGAACGGCAGCACAGUAAGAGCUUGCUCUUACGGGUGGCGAGUGGCGGACGGGUGAGGGAUACAUCGGAAUCUACUUUUUCGUGGGGGAUAACGUAGGGAAACUUACGCUAAUACCGCAUACGACCUACGGGUGAAAGCAGGGGAUCUUCGGACCUUGCGCGAUUGAAUGAGCCGAUGUCGGAUUAGCUAGUUGGCGGGGUAAAGGCCCACCAAGGCGACGAUCCGUAGCUGGUCUGAGAGGAUGAUCAGCCACACUGGAACUGAGACACGGUCCAGACUCCUACGGGAGGCAGCAGUGGGGAAUAUUGGACAAUGGGCGCAAGCCUGAUCCAGCCAUACCGCGUGGGUGAAGAAGGCCUUCGGGUUGUAAAGCCCUUUUGUUGGGAAAGAAAAGCAGCAGGUUAAUACCCCGCUGUUCUGACGGUACCCAAAGAAUAAGCACCGGCUAACUUCGUG
Molecule: ribosomal RNA, 491 nt
Filed under: uncultured bacterium
Lineage: Bacteria
Description: partial 16S ribosomal RNA
Rfam family: Bacterial small subunit ribosomal RNA
Source: RNAcentral